Molecule: long non-coding RNA, 1134 nt
Organism: Acanthopagrus latus (yellowfin seabream)
Lineage: Eukaryota; Metazoa; Chordata; Actinopteri; Spariformes; Sparidae
Exons: 4
Source: RefSeq, a predicted model, not a curated record
UGAAGUAAGACCUUUAUUGUGUUUUUGAGCAUGUCACUUGUUUUCCACUGACAGUUUCCUAUCUCGUACAGGGAUACAAACCACAAAAAAUCUCUAGUUCAUCAGAGCAAUUGGCUAUUUAGUGCCUACAUAUUUUUAACCAGCGGCUCAUUUAUUUUCAGAAAUGAAGGCUACUGUUAGAUCUUUAUCAGUUAAAGAUGUCAAUAAUGCUCAGUUUUACUGGUUAAACCUUUUUUCGGGUUUGACAAAAUGAAAACAUUUAAACUUUUUUUGUAGUAUUAAGUCAGAAAUGUUAUAGACAGUCAGGAUAUUUCCUUACUUUUGGUGGUUGAGGGAACACAGCCAUAACUCCACCUUUCAACCUCCCCUCUUUUCCCUUCCACAGAAGAGUGCCAUCUGGUGGUGUCAGAUGUUAAAUCCCAACAUUCAGCCUCUGAGCACUUUGUUUCCCUCAGUUUUUUAGCACUUGAAAGGUGUUGUCUCUCUUGAUGGUAGGGAAAAACUAAAAUGAAGACAAAUAGAUAUGAUAUUAAGGAAUGAUCUGUCUUUCCCUUUUGCCAAUCUUUACCUGGCAUUUUAUAAAAAUCUCUUGCUGAUACAAAAUCAUGCAGUUCCUGUUGAACAACAGCGAUACUCAUACAUGGAGAAUGAAAAAAACGGUUUACCUCAAGAACAACAGAGAGCAGUGCUGUUGGAAUAUUGUUGUGGUUCACACAGAGAAGAGGCUGGUUUAUCUUCAACUUCAGGUGGCUUUGUCGACCAACAACAGCACUGCUGGGAGAGAACCUGAGCACAGUCCUAGAAUUUAAGUCACUGUGUUAUUUGGGACAGCAGGAUUAGAAGCCAAUAAGCGAAAGAUGACCAAGGAUUUACAUGUUGCUGGCUCAAAGUUGGAGAAUGGGGAGCUGCAGUGGCCUACAGAAACUUAGGAGGGUGAGAGAGAUACAGCAGCCAAAAGACGAAUGGGUAGGUCUGCCAUGCAUCAGCUUCUGUACUUCCUGAACUAUGGGAAACCCCUUCAUGCAAUGAAACAUCCUGAGGAUUCCCUGCUAGCACACAUGCCCAGCACUUUGCUGCUUUAGAGAGCUGGUUUUAUUGUGAGAUCCCAUGUUAAAACUACUACGCUGAUUUCUA